GUGCUUGCUUUGGCAGCACAUAUACUAAAAUUGGAAUAAAACAGAGAUUAGCACAGCCUCUGUGCAAAGAUGACAUGCAAAUUCAUGAAGUGUUUCAUUAAGAA
Ictidomys tridecemlineatus (thirteen-lined ground squirrel) is the source of this 104-nucleotide small nuclear RNA. The record is from Ensembl. Lineage: Eukaryota; Metazoa; Chordata; Mammalia; Rodentia; Sciuridae.